GAUGAACGCUAGCGGCAGGCUUAACACAUGCAAGUCGAGGGGCAGCAUAAUGGAUAGCAAUAUCUAUGGUGGCGACCGGCGCACGGGUGCGUAACGCGUAUGCAACCUACCUUUAACAGGGGGAUAACACUGAGAAAUUGGUACUAAUACCCCAUAAUAUCAUAGAAGGCAUCUUUUAUGGUUGAAAAUUCCGAUGGUUAGAGAUGGGCAUGCGUUGUAUUAGCUUGUUGGCGGGGUAACGGCCCACCAAGCCUUCGAUGGAUAGGGGUUCUGAGAGGAAGGUCCCCCACAUUGGAACUGAGACACGGUCCAAACUCCUACGGGAGGCAGCAGUGAGGAAUAUUGGUCAAUGGACGAGAGUCUGAACCAGCCAAGUAGCGUGAAGGAUGACUGCCCUAUGGGUUGUAAACUUCUUUUAUACGGGAAUAAAGUGAGGCACGUGUGCCUUUUUGUAUGUACCGUAUGAAUAAGGAUCGGCUAACUCCGUGCCAGCAGCCGCGGUAAUACGGAGGAUCCGAGCGUUAUCCGGAUUUAUUGGGUUUAAAGGGAGCGUAGGCGGACGCUUAAGUCAGUUGUGAAAGUUUGCGGCUCAACCGUAAAAUUGCAGUUGAUACUGGGUGUCUUGAGUACAGUAGAGGCAGGCGGAAUUCGUGGUGUAGCGGUGAAAUGCUUAGAUAUCACGAAGAACUCCGAUUGCGAAGGCAGCCUGCUGGACUGUAACUGACGCUGAUGCUCGAAAGUGUGGGUAUCAAACAGGAUUAGAUACCCUGGUAGUCCACACAGUAAACGAUGAAUACUCGCUGUUUGCGAUAUACAGUAAGCGGCCAAGCGAAAGCGUUAAGUAUUCCACCUGGGGAGUACGCCGGCAACGGUGAAACUCAAAGGAAUUGACGGGGGCCCGCACAAGCGGAGGAACAUGUGGUUUAAUUCGAUGAUACGCGAGGAACCUUACCCGGGCUUGAAUUGUAACUGAAUGAUGUGGAGACAUGUCAGCCGCAAGGCAGUUGUGAAGGUGCUGCAUGGUUGUCGUCAGCUCGUGCCGUGAGGUGUCGGCUUAAGUGCCAUAACGAGCGCAACCCUUAUCGAUAGUUACCAUCAGGUUAUGCUGGGGACUCUGUCGAGACUGCCGUCGUAAGAUGUGAGGAAGGUGGGGAUGACGUCAAAUCAGCACGGCCCUUACGUCCGGGGCUACACACGUGUUACAAUGGGGGGUACAGAAGGCAGCUACACGGCGACGUGAUGCUAAUCCCGAAAGCCUCUCUCAGUUCGGAUUGGAGUCUGCAACCCGACUCCAUGAAGCUGGAUUCGCUAGUAAUCGCGCAUCAGCCACGGCGCGGUGAAUACGUUCCCGGGCCU
Molecule: ribosomal RNA, 1356 nt
Filed under: uncultured bacterium
Lineage: Bacteria
Description: bacterial SSU rRNA
Rfam family: Bacterial small subunit ribosomal RNA
Source: RNAcentral